This 513-nucleotide ribosomal RNA is filed under the name uncultured bacterium. Its description in RNAcentral is "partial 16S ribosomal RNA". It matches the Rfam family "Bacterial small subunit ribosomal RNA", at positions 28 to 523 of the family's 1533-position model. The record is from RNAcentral.
GACGAACGCUGGCGGCAUGCCUAAUACACGCAAGUCGAGCGAACAGAUGAAGUGCUUGCACUUCUGACGUUAGCGGCGAACGGGUGAGUAACACGUAAGGAAUCUACCUAUAAGCGGGGGAUAACAUUCGGAAACGGGUGCUAAUACCGCAUAAUAUCUUCUUCCGCAUAGAAGAAGAUUGAAAGACGGCUCUGCUGUCACUUACAGAUGAACUUGCGGUGCAUUAGUUAGUUGGUGGGGUAACGGCCUACCAAGACGAUGAUGCAUAGCCGACCUGAGAGGGUGAUCGGCCACAUUGGGACUGAGACACGGCCCAAACUCCUACGGGAGGCAGCAGUAGGGAAUCUUCCGCAAUGGGCGAAAGCCUGACGGAGCAAUGCCGCGUGAGUGAAGAAGGCCUUCGGGUCGUAAAACUCUGUUAUAAGGGAAGAACAAAUUGUAGAGUAACUGCUACAGUCUUGACGGUAUCUUAUCAGAAAGCCACGGCUAACUACGUGCCAGCCGCCGCCGUAA